AGGACGAACGCUGGCGGCGUGCUUAACACAUGCAAGUCACGGGGGUCCCGCAAGGGAUAACCGGCGAACGGGUGCGUAACACGUGAACAACCUGCCCUCGUGUGGGGGAUAGCCGGGCUAACGCCCGGGUAAUACCGCAUACGUUCUCUUUGGGGAGUCCCGAGGAGAGGAAAGCUCCGGCGCACGGGGAGGGUUCGCGGCCUAUCAGCUAGUUGGCGGGUAAUGGCCCACAAGGCGACGACGGGUAGCU
This 250-nucleotide ribosomal RNA is filed under the name uncultured soil bacterium. Its description in RNAcentral is "partial 16S ribosomal RNA". It matches the Rfam family "Bacterial small subunit ribosomal RNA", at positions 26 to 288 of the family's 1533-position model. The record is from RNAcentral.